CUGUUAACUCUUUGCUCGCCGGACGCCUCGCUGCUCCCUCCGGCCCGCCCUGCGAGUCGGGCCCAGAGCCGCCGCGGUCUCCCUGCGAAGCGGAGCAGAGGGUGAAGCUGAAGCGCUGUCGGAACCCUUCUCCGACCCGGGGCGCUUCUGGCGGCGGGGCGGCGGACGGCUGCCUCCCGAGCGCAGCGCCCACGGACGCCGGGACCCGCCAGGCCGCCAUGGCUGCCGCCUUGGGAGGCGGGGCGCUGGGGCCAAGGGGCGGUCCGUACUGCUCCCGCAGAGCCAGGCCGGGCCCAGACCCGCCACCCCGGACUCCGCCCUCCGACCCUCGACCCCGGACCCGCCCUCCGGUCCUGGACCCCGACCCCCACCUCCUGACCUCGGCCCUCCGGAUUCUGACUCCCUCUCCGACUCAGGGCCCCGGCCUCCGGACUCGGAUCCCGCCCUCCGACCCCCGACCCGGACCCCGCCCUCAGAUCCCUGCCCUCGGACCUGGACCCCGACCCAGCCCCGGCUCUCCGGCUCCGGACCUUGACCCCUGACCCCGGAUCCCGCCCUCUGGUCCUGGACCUGGCCCUCCGAGCCCAGACCCCCGACCCCGCCCUUGCCCUCCGGACCCGGACCCCGGCCUUCCGCAGCCCCACCGGCCCUGCCCGGCAGAUAAAGUGGACCUUAGGCAGCUGAGGAGGCUCCCACACGAUGCGGGGACGGGGAAGAACGUGCCUUUUCCACUCUCUGGACUUUCAUUCUAGGUGUUCCAUUGGUCUUCUGAGGUGACACGUGGACCUUUUUUCUCGUGUCAAACUGGUCUUGGGAUCUUUCAGCAUAAUCGCUACAACUAAGAUGCCAGAAAGUGAUCAAAAUAUCCCAGUACGCAGGCCUCUCACUGUUGUGGCCUCUCCCAUCGCGGAGCACAGGCUCAGGACGCGCAGGCUCAGCAGCCAUGGCUCACAGGCCCAGCCGCUCCGCGGCAUGUGGGAUCUUCCCGGACCGGGGCACGAACCCGUGUCCCCUGCAUCGGCAGGCAGACUCUCAACCACUGCGCCACCCAGAGAAGCCCCUGAUGACAGAGUUGGAAUCAUGAGACCACGCUGUAAAUAAACAAGCCCACGAUAGUCUUUGGCAGAGCACUCGAGGAGGAAAACUGAGGCGCCCCUGCUGACUGCAGUACCCACCGCCGGAUGUGUGAAGGAGGCCUCCUUAGUCCAGCCCCCGUCAAUCUGUCAGAUGGAUACGGCCUCAGGAGUGAUUUCUGGGUAGACCAGAAAAAGAACUGCUCAACUGAGCCUGCCCAAUUUGCUGCCUGUGGAGUCAUGACAGAUAAAAUGGUUGUUGGUUUAAGUCAGUAGGUAUUGGGGCAACUUGUAUCAUCAACGGUUAACUGAAACACUUCCCUAAUGCCCCUGUUUCAGUCAAAGCAAGGUAACUGCUUUAAUGAGCAAUACCAAGGUGUGAAUGAAUUUCUACAAUGAAAGUUUAUUUCUUACUUAUGCAAAACCCACAGGAUAUGUUUCUGGUCAGUCAGCUCUCCUUCAAGUAGUGAUACCGGAAUGCAGUCUCCGUUUCGCACCACUAUUUUUAACUGAUAACCUCUAAAUUCACCAAAAGGUACCUAACCACUUCAGCCUGGAAGUGAGUUCGUCCACUAGCCAUAACUCCUUAUCUGGAUGGAAAUGUAUCCAACUCGGUCCUUGCCAUCUCUGAUUUACCCCUCUACCCCUUUCCUCUUCAUAUCUUCUUAAGACAUAAAUAAUUAUGUGUCCCUUCUCCCAACACUGAGCUAUAACCUUAAAGAAUACAGUCGUAUCUGCUAGAGUCUGUUGUAAUACCGAACCUAAAUCCUUAUAUACGGUAGAGGUGCCCUAAUACACAUCUAUCAUCUUAUAGAGUUUUCAACGUACUUUCAGAAACUCAAUUUCAUUUAAAUCUCACAACAUUUUAAGAUAGAAAAUAUAUAAUCAUAUCCAGUUUUUACAAAUGAUGGAACUGAGGACUAAAGAUUCUAAGUGAUUUGCCCAAAGUCACCACCCAGGAAACGGCAGAGCUGGAACUGGAACCCUAUAA
This is a long non-coding RNA of Lagenorhynchus albirostris (white-beaked dolphin), 2064 nucleotides long. RefSeq lists it as uncharacterized. The record is from RefSeq and is a predicted model, not a curated record. Lineage: Eukaryota; Metazoa; Chordata; Mammalia; Artiodactyla; Delphinidae. The transcript is spliced from 3 exons.